Molecule: ribosomal RNA, 376 nt
Filed under: uncultured organism
Description: partial 16S ribosomal RNA
Rfam family: Bacterial small subunit ribosomal RNA
Source: RNAcentral
GUAGGUGGCAAGCGUUGUCCGGAAUUAUUGGGCGUAAAGCGCGCGCAGGUGGUUCUUUAAGCCUGAUGGUGAAAGACCCCCGGGCUCAACCGGGGAGGGUCAUUGGAAACUGGGGAACUUGAGUGCAGGAGAGGAAAGUGGAAUUCCACGUGUAGCGGUGAAAUGCGUAGAUAUGUGGAGGAACACCAGUGGCGAAGGCGACUUUCUGGCCUGUAACUGACACUGAGGCGCGAAAGCGUGGGGAGCAAACAGGAUUAGAUACCCUGGUAGUCCACGCCGUAAACGAUGAGUGCUAAGUGUUGGGGGGGUUUCCGCCCCUCAGUGCUGCAGCUAACGCAUUAAGCACUCCGCCUGGGGAGUACGGUCGCAAAGACUG